GGGGACGCUACGGAUUCGACAGGGAUAGUUCGAGCUUAAGUUGCGAGUCGAGGGGAUCGGCCUCGUUAAAACGUCAAAGCCUAUAACUGGCAAACAACAAAACUCUUUCGCUUUAGCUGCUUAAUAACAGUUUAAAGUGGUUCGCCCCUCCAUCGCCUGUGUGGUAGGGUAGCGGACUCAAAUUUAGCAGGCUACGCCGGAGUCCACCGUCUGAGGAUGAAGGAAGAGAACAACCAGACUAGCUGCCCGGACGCCUGUCGAUAGGCAAAUGGAGCAGCGAAACAUCAAUAUGUCGACUACACUCGUAGAAGCUUAAGUGGCGAUGUUUCUGGACGAGGGUUCGACUCCCUCCGUCUCCACCA
Molecule: transfer-messenger RNA, 362 nt
Filed under: Caryophanales
Lineage: Bacteria; Bacillati; Bacillota; Bacilli
Also listed under: 1 other name
Description: Bacillus_AI deserti_A Standard tmRNA
Rfam family: transfer-messenger RNA
About the family: Bacterial tmRNA, also known as 10Sa RNA or SsrA, is named for its dual tRNA and mRNA-like properties.
Source: RNAcentral